RNAcentral lists this unclassified non-coding RNA (312 nucleotides) under Hevea brasiliensis (rubber tree). The record is from RNAcentral. Lineage: Eukaryota; Viridiplantae; Streptophyta; Magnoliopsida; Malpighiales; Euphorbiaceae.
AUUCAAUAACUUAAAAAAGAAAAGUGAAGAAGUAAAUAAAUAGCUCGUACAAUGAGAGAGAACUUCAUUAUCAAUACAAUCAUCCCAAUCUCCUCCUCCUUCGCUCCUGUAAAAUUUCAUUGUCCAUAUCUGACCGUCGUGGUAACUCACUCCUCCUUCUGGUUGAUGGAGAUGGAAGUAUUAUUCGGUCAAAUUCAGUCACACUACUGGUCUGGUUUUGUAGACUCGUAGCAAUAUCCAUUGUUCUAGAAGAUGACUCGAAUUGGGGAACCAGAAAGGUGAUUCCACCAACAGGAUCUGGAGUCAUACCCG